Molecule: long non-coding RNA, 1121 nt
Filed under: Lathyrus oleraceus (garden pea)
Lineage: Eukaryota; Viridiplantae; Streptophyta; Magnoliopsida; Fabales; Fabaceae
Description: Pisum sativum (pea) long non-coding RNA (PSAT_LNC033872)
Source: RNAcentral
UAAAGCCCAAUACCAAUACCCAUCAUAUACAAACACCACUAUAUAACUAAAAAACCCUAGUCGUCAUCGUUUAUCUCUCUCCCCGUUUUUCUUCCCCCUCUUCGUUUGCUCUCACAACUAAAUAUAAAACUCAUCAAAGGCAAACAUUUCGAUUUUCAUUUUAACUCAUGUAAUCUAAUCUUUGUCUUCUCAGUUUUGUUUGUUAUCUUCCAUAAUACUGGUUGAAGCUUGGUGAUGGUGUUGCUGACUUUGUUAUCUUCGUCUCAGUGUCAUUCCUCUUCAUUUUCUUAAUUUCUUUUGUUGAAGUUUGAUGCUUGUUGGUUGAAAAGAUUGUAUUUGUUGAAGCCUGUGUUUGAGCCGAAUUGAGUGUUUGAGCCCGAAUCCAACCCAAAUCGCUGUCCAGCCCUAUAUAUGAUCUCUUCACCUCUAUUAUCUUUCUACUUUUCUUAUUUAUUUUCCUUUAUUACUCUGUUAUCCAAAUCAAUGGAUAUUAGUUGCAGAAUGAUGAUAAAGAUGUAAGUGUUGAAAGAACCGAAACAAUCCAUCCGACAUAAACCGUCACCGAAUGGAACCGUCAUCCGAGAAAACCGAAAUAUAAAUGGUCGAUAACGGAUCUAUAUUUAGUGUCCGUGGUUUUGUUCGUAUUGAUAUUUUUAGCCCAUCACCGACCGGAAUUGACCAUUUGUCCACCCCUACCUACAAGUACAAAAUGCCUAAAUACGAAUGUAUCUCGCGUACUAGUAGAAAAAUAACUUUAAAAUUAUUGAUAUCAUAUCUAUUUUAAAAAAUAUAUAUAAAAGUUAUAUACAAUGAUAAUUUUGUAAUUAUAAUAAAAAAACUAAUUUUUGUGUUAUUCAUUAAUAUUAAUAAAUAAGUGUAUAAUGUAUCUUACUUUUAAAACAAAACAAUUUUUUAAUAUAAAAUACUAGAUUUAAAAGAAAAUAAGUAUAAAAGGAAAAACAAUAAACAUAUAUAUUUAAAAUAAUAUUUGAUAUUAAAAAAAUAAAUUGAGAGUAAAAGUAAAUUUUGUACCUUAUAUAUUAAAAAUAAAUAUAUUCCUAAAUAAAUAUCUAAUGUAUAUUACUUUUAAAUAUGAAAUCAAAAUUAUAUAAUUUUUAGAA